CUUCACCGAGCCCAGCCACAGCGGCUGCUCCGCGGGACGCCCCUGGCCGUAGGUGGCGAGGAGUGCCUGGGCCUC
This is a non-coding RNA of Streptomyces sp. FXJ1.172, 75 nucleotides long. The record is from Rfam. Lineage: Bacteria; Bacillati; Actinomycetota; Actinomycetes; Kitasatosporales; Streptomycetaceae.